Phyllopteryx taeniolatus (common seadragon) is the source of this 383-nucleotide long non-coding RNA. RefSeq lists it as uncharacterized. The record is from RefSeq and is a predicted model, not a curated record. NCBI's taxonomy places the organism in Eukaryota, Metazoa, Chordata, Actinopteri, Syngnathiformes, Syngnathidae. The transcript is spliced from 3 exons.
GCAAAAUGUUUUGCUUCGAGGCAAUAAAACGUAAAAUAAUAAUAAAAUAAGAGCAUUAUUUGCGCUUCCCGGAACCAAUAUGCGCCGCCCGGAAGUGUUUGGCCAUUGUCCUUGUUUACUGCACGGACAUUUGUUGCAGAUGCAUGCAGUUUUGCCCAGUGUAAACGACAGGAGCGUCUAUGUGCCCAGUGAUUGGCUGGCGACCGCUCAAGGGUGUACAGCUGCGAUUGGCUCCAGCUCACCCGCGACCCGAAUGAGGACAAGCGCUACAGAAAACGGGAUGGAUGGGGCGGGGUCGAGGAGAGUCAUGAAUAUAUUCAUCGGCGUGCUCACAUGCCCGCUGAAGCCGAAAUGUCACGCGUGUUUUUAAUGUAUGCAAUAUG